UUAUCCGGAAUUAUUGGGCGUAAAGAGGGAGCAGGCGGCAGCUAAGUCUGUGGUGAAAGACUGAAGCUUAACUUCAGUAAGCCAUAGAAACCGGGCAGCUAGAGUGCAGGAGAGGAUCGUGGAAUUCCAUGUGUAGCGGUGAAAUGCGUAGAUAUAUGGAGGAACACCAGUGGCGAAGGCGACGAUCUGGCCUGCAACUGACGCUCAGUCCCGAAAGCGUGGGGAGCAAAUAGGAUUAGAUACCCUAGUAGUCCACGCCGUAAACGAUGAGUACUAAGUGUUGGGAGUCAAAUCUCAGUGCUGCAGUUAACGCAGUAAGUACUCCGCCUGAGUAGUACGUUCGCAAGAAUGAAACUCAAAGGAAUUGACGGGGGCCCGCACAAGCGGUGGAACAUGUGGUUUAA
Molecule: ribosomal RNA, 404 nt
Filed under: uncultured bacterium
Lineage: Bacteria
Description: bacterial SSU rRNA
Rfam family: Bacterial small subunit ribosomal RNA
Source: RNAcentral